GGCUGAUAUCUUCAAGUGUUUCUCCUUAUACAGUUCUCAUGUUGAACCACUUUCACGGUGCCUUGUUGAAGCUCCGGAGCUUUAAUCUUGGGACGGGUAAAGUUUUGAGACAGUAACGUCUAUCAUGUGAUUGUUGGUAAAUCUGCUAAAUCAACCGACUCUGUUACUGAAGGUCUAAAAGAGAACAGAGAAGAGGUCACAAAAAUUGAAUGCUUCGCUUCUCACUAUCUAAAUAGGAUUUUGCUUCUUGGUUCAUGUCUUGUCUGGUUCAGUGGCUUCUGCACCACAUAGUCCUUCCGGUGAGGUUCUUCUCUAUCCAGGCGGUAGCACUUAUGGCGGAGGUCGGUUUCUGAUCUUGGCGUCAGCGGUCUCCUGAUCUCCGACGUGGCGGCUUCAUCGUGAGAGGGUGAGGCUCGGAGCUAGGGUUUUCGCAAGCUUUUGGGCUAUUUUGGGCUUGUUACUUUUCUAGGUUUUGUCUAAUUGGGCCCAUUUGGGAUUGUAGUUGGGCUUUAUUUAAUUUCUGUUGAAAAAAAAACAAAAAAAUAUUAAUGAAAACCCUUUUUCAAAAAAAAAAAAAAAAAAAGAAAAGAACAUGUCUUCAUUUAAUUUUGUAUGUAUCUUUUAACAUGUCGUAUGCCUUGACCACCGGACUACUUUGGUGUAGUCGAUCUUAGCUCUAAUCUGAUUUUUGUUU
RNAcentral lists this long non-coding RNA (694 nucleotides) under Brassica napus (rape). Its description in RNAcentral is "long non-coding RNA (BNAP_LNC002897)". Lineage: Eukaryota; Viridiplantae; Streptophyta; Magnoliopsida; Brassicales; Brassicaceae. The record is from RNAcentral.